UACGAAGGGAGCUAGCGUUGUUCGGAAUUACUGGGCGUAAAGGGCGCGUAGGCGGUCCUAUAAGUUUGAUGUGAAAGCCCUGGGCUUAACCUAGGAAUUGCAUUGAAUACUGUAGGACUAGAGUUUGAGAGGGGAGAAUGGAAUUGCGAGUGUAGAGGUGAAAUUCGUAGAUAUUCGCAAGAACACCGGUGGCGAAGGCGGUUCUCUGGCUCGAUACUGACGCUAAGGCGCGAAAGCGUGGGGAGCAAACAGG
RNAcentral lists this ribosomal RNA (253 nucleotides) under uncultured bacterium. RNAcentral's name for it is "partial 16S ribosomal RNA". It matches the Rfam family "Bacterial small subunit ribosomal RNA", at positions 524 to 776 of the family's 1533-position model. The record is from RNAcentral.